This is a long non-coding RNA of Octopus sinensis (East Asian common octopus), 165 nucleotides long. RefSeq lists it as uncharacterized. Lineage: Eukaryota; Metazoa; Mollusca; Cephalopoda; Octopoda; Octopodidae. The record is from RefSeq and is a predicted model, not a curated record. The transcript is spliced from 3 exons.
UACUGGUUGCAUAUUCUGGUGAACUACACCUGCCAACAUUAUGAAGCAACUCCGAGCCCCCAAGAAAAGCUGUCGGACUUGUAACACUAUACCUUCUUCCCUUUAUUUUUCUAUAUUUUUGUACUCUGUAUAAGUUUGCUCUGUUAAUAUAUUUAGACCUGAAUA